RNAcentral lists this ribosomal RNA (559 nucleotides) under uncultured bacterium. Its description in RNAcentral is "bacterial SSU rRNA". It matches the Rfam family "Bacterial small subunit ribosomal RNA", at positions 120 to 674 of the family's 1533-position model. The record is from RNAcentral.
GGGGAUCUGCCCGAUAGAGGGGGAUAACCACUGGAAACGGUGGCUAAUACCGCAUAACGUCGCAAGACCAAAGAGGGGGACCUUCGGGCCUCUCACUAUCGGAUGAACCCAGAUGGGAUUAGCUAGUAGGCGGGGUAACGGCCCACCUAGGCGACGAUCCCUAGCUGGUCUGAGAGGAUGACCAGCCACACUGGAACUGAGACACGGUCCAGACUCCUACGGGAGGCAGCAGUGGGGAAUAUUGCACAAUGGGCGCAAGCCUGAUGCAGCCAUGCCGCGUGUAUGAAGAAGGCCUUCGGGUUGUAAAGUACUUUCAGCGGGGAGGAAGGCGAUGUGGUUAAUAACCGCAUUGAUUGACGUUACCCGCAGAAGAAGCACCGGCUAACUCCGUGCCAGCAGCCGCGGUAAUACGGAGGGUGCAAGCGUUAAUCGGAAUUACUGGGCGUAAAGCGCACGCAGGCGGUCUGUUAAGUCAGAUGUGAAAUCCCCGGGCUUAACCUGGGAACUGCAUUUGAAACUGGCAGGCUUGAGUCUCGUAGAGGGGGGUAGAAUUCCAGGU